AUGAAGAUGAAAAUCUGCCUUAUACUUGCCGCCCUCGCCAUUCUUGCUAUUGACUAUGUCCCUCAAAACCCCCAAAGGAAAACAUUUCGCUUUGAACUGGGUCUUAUCUUUUUUAGACACUCUGCUUAUGACAAAGAGGAGGAGCAGGAGCAGGAACAGGAGCAGGAACAGGAACAGGAGCAGCAACAGGAGCAGGAACAGGAACAGGAACAGGAACAGCAACAGGAGCAGGAACAGGAACAGGAGGAACAGGAACAGGAGCAGGAUUAGGAACAGGAGGAACAGGAGCAGGAACAGGAGCAGGAACAGGAGCAGGAACAGCAACAGGAACAGGAACAGGAGCAGCAACAGGAGCAGGAACAGGAACAGGAACAGGAACAGCAACAGGAGCAGGAACAGGAACAGGAGGAACAGGAACAGGAGCAGGAUUAGGAACAGGAGGAACAGGAGCAGGAACAGGAGCAGGAACAGGAGCAGGAACAGCAAGAGGAACAGGAACAGGAGCAGGAACAGGAACAGGAACAGGAACAGGAGCAGGAACAGGAGCAGGAGCAGCAACAGGAGCAGGAACAGGAGCAGGAACAGGAACAGGAACAGGAACAGGAACAGGAACAGGAGCAGGAGCAGCAACAGGAGCAGGAACAGGAGCAGGAACAGGAGCAGGAGGAACAGGAACAGGAGCAGGAACAGGAGCAGGAACAGGAGCAGGAACAGGAACAGGAGGAACAGGAACAGGAGCAGGAACAGGAGGAACAGGAACAGGAGCAGGAACAGGAACAGGAACAGGAACAGGAGCGGCAACAGGAACAGGAACAGGAACAGGAGCAGGAACAGGAGGAACAGGAACAGGAGCAGGAACAGGAACAGGAACAGGAACAGGAGCGGCAACAGGAACAGGAACAGGAACAGGAGCAGGAACAGGAGGAACAGGAACAGGAGCAGGAACAGGAACAGGAACAGGAGCAGCAACAGGAGCAGGAACAGGGACAGGAGGAACAGGAACAGGAGCAGGAACAGGAGGAACAGGAGCAGGAACAGGAACAGGAGCAGGAACAGGAGGAACAGGAGCAGGAACAGGAACAGGAGCAGGAACAGGAGGAACAGGAGCAGCAGGAACAGGAGCAGGAACAGGAACGGGAACAGGAUCAAGCUAAAGACGUACCUCGGAACAUGUGA
This is a long non-coding RNA of Aplysia californica (California sea hare), 1176 nucleotides long. RefSeq lists it as uncharacterized. Lineage: Eukaryota; Metazoa; Mollusca; Gastropoda; Aplysiida; Aplysiidae. The transcript has 6 exons. The record is from RefSeq and is a predicted model, not a curated record.